UGCAAUGGGCGAAAGCCUGACGGAGCAAUACCGCGUGAGGGAGGAAGGCUCUUGGGUUGUAAACCUCUUUUCUCAGGGAAUAAGAACUGAAGGUACCUGAGGAAUCAGCAUCGGCUAACUCCGUGCCAGCAGCCGCGGUAAUACGGAGGAUGCAAGCGUUAUCCGGAAUGAUUGGGCGUAAAGCGUCCGCAGGCGGUUUAUCAAGUCUGCUGUCAAAGAGUUUGGCUCAACCAAAUAAAGGCAGUGGAAACUGACAGACUGGAGUGCGGUAAGGGCAGAGGGAAUUCCUGGUGUAGCGGUGAAAUGCGUANAGAUCAGGAAGAACACCGGUGGCNAAAGCGCUCUGCUGGGCCGUAACUGACACUGAGGGACGAAAGCUANGGGAGCGAAUGGGAUUAGAUACCCCAUAGUC
This 412-nucleotide ribosomal RNA is filed under the name uncultured cyanobacterium. Its description in RNAcentral is "bacterial SSU rRNA". It matches the Rfam family "Bacterial small subunit ribosomal RNA", at positions 367 to 795 of the family's 1533-position model. Lineage: Bacteria; Bacillati; Cyanobacteriota. The record is from RNAcentral.